AGUCACUGACAUUAGAUACCCCCGUAGUCCCAGCCGUAAACUAUGCGCGUUAGGUGUAUCGGUGACCACGAGUCACCGAGGUGCCGAAGGGAAACCGUGAAACGUGCCUCCUGGGAAGUACGGUCGCAAGGCUGAAACUUAAAGGAAUUGGCGGGGGAGCACAACAACGGGUGGAGCCUGCGGUUUAAUUGGACUCAACGCCGGACAACUCACCGGGAACGACAGCAAUAUGUAGGCCAGGCUGAAGACCUUGCCUGAAUCGCUG
This 265-nucleotide ribosomal RNA is filed under the name uncultured archaeon. RNAcentral's name for it is "partial 16S ribosomal RNA". It matches the Rfam family "Archaeal small subunit ribosomal RNA", at positions 718 to 982 of the family's 1478-position model. The record is from RNAcentral.